Molecule: ribosomal RNA, 590 nt
Filed under: Rhodotorula alborubescens
Lineage: Eukaryota; Fungi; Basidiomycota; Microbotryomycetes; Sporidiobolales; Sporidiobolaceae
Description: eukaryotic LSU rRNA
Rfam family: Eukaryotic large subunit ribosomal RNA
Source: RNAcentral
UAAGCGGAGGAAAAGAAACUAACAAGGAUUCCCCUAGUAGCGGCGAGCGAAGCGGGAAGAGCUCAAAUUUAUAAUCUGGCACCUUCGGUGUCCGAGUUGUAAUCUCUAGAAAUGUUUUCCGCGUUGGACCGCACACAAGUCUGUUGGAAUACAGCGGCAUAGUGGUGAGACCCCCGUAUAUGGUGCGGACGCCCAGCGCUUUGUGAUACAUUUUCGAAGAGUCGAGUUGUUUGGGAAUGCAGCUCAAAUUGGGUGGUAAAUUCCAUCUAAAGCUAAAUAUUGGCGAGAGACCGAUAGCGAACAAGUACCGUGAGGGAAAGAUGAAAAGCACUUUGGAAAGAGAGUUAACAGUACGUGAAAUUGUUGGAAGGGAAACGCUUGAAGUCAGACUUGCUUGCCGAGCAAUCGGUUUGCAGGCCAGCAUCAGUUUUCCGGGAUGGAUAAUGGUAGAGAGAAGGUAGCAGUUUCGGCUGUGUUAUAGCUCUCUGCUGGAUACAUCUUGGGGGACUGAGGAACGCAGUGUGCCUUUGGCGGGGGUUUCGACCUCUUCACACUUAGGAUGCUGGUGGAAUGGCUUUAAACGACCCGUC